RNAcentral lists this ribosomal RNA (229 nucleotides) under uncultured bacterium. RNAcentral's name for it is "partial 16S ribosomal RNA". It matches the Rfam family "Bacterial small subunit ribosomal RNA", at positions 568 to 796 of the family's 1533-position model. The record is from RNAcentral.
GGCGUAGGCGGUUCUUCAAGUCGGUUGUGAAAUCUCUCGGCUUAACCGAGAGCGGUCAUCCGAUACUGUAGGACUAGAGUGCAGCAGAGGGAGGUGGAAUUCCCGGUGUAGUGGUGAAAUGCGUAGAUAUCGGGAGGAACACCAGUGGCGAAAGCGGCCUCCUGGGCUGUUACUGACGCUGAGGCCCGAAGGCGUGGGGAGCAAACAGGAUUAGAUACCCUGGUAGUCC